RNAcentral lists this ribosomal RNA (460 nucleotides) under uncultured bacterium. RNAcentral's name for it is "partial 16S ribosomal RNA". It matches the Rfam family "Bacterial small subunit ribosomal RNA", at positions 338 to 795 of the family's 1533-position model. The record is from RNAcentral.
CCUACGGGUGGCAGCAGUGAGGAAUAUUGGGCAAUGGACGAGAGUCUGAACCAGCCAAGUCGCGUGAAGGAUGAAUGCCCUAUGGGUUGUAAACUUCUUUUAUAUGGGAAUAAAUUGUUCCACGUGUGGGAUUUUGUAUGUACCAUAUGAAUAAGGAUCGGCUAACACCGUGCCAGCAGCCGCGGUAAUACGGAGGAUCCGAGCGUUAUCCGGAUUUAUUGGGUGGAAAGGGAGCGUAGGUGGAGUGUUAAGUCAGUUGUGAAAGUUUGCGGCUUAACCGUAAAAUUGCAGUGGAAACUGGCAGUCGUGAGUACAGGAGAGGUGGGCGGAAUUUGUGGUGGAGCGGUGAAAUGCUUAGAUAUCACGAAGAACUCCGAUUGCGAAGGCAGCUCACUGGACUGCAACUGACACUGAGGCUCGAAAGUGUGGGUAGCAAACAGGAUUAGAUACCCGAGUAGUC